UGGGGAAUCUUGCGCAAUGGACGAAAGUCUGACGCAGCCACGCCGCGUGAGUGAAGAAGGCCUUCGGGUUGUAAAGCUCUGUCGGAGGGGACGAAAAUGCUUAGGGUUCACAGCCCUAGGAACUGACGGUACCCUUAAAGGAAGCACCGGCUAACUCUGUGCCAGCAGCCGCGGUAAUACAGAGGGUGCAAGCGUUGCUCGGAAUCAUUGGGCGUAAAGGGCAAGUCGGUGGUCUCAUUUGUCUAGGGUGAAAUCCUUGAGCUUAACUCAAGAAGUGCCCUAGAAACGGUGGGACUAGAGUUCUGGAGAGGGUCGUGGAAUUCCCGGUGUAGCGGUGAAAUGCGUAGAGAUCGGGAGGAACACCAGAGGCGAAGGCGGCGACCUGGACAGACACUGACACUCAACUGCGAAAGCGUGGGGAGCAAACAG
RNAcentral lists this ribosomal RNA (429 nucleotides) under uncultured bacterium. Its description in RNAcentral is "bacterial SSU rRNA". It matches the Rfam family "Bacterial small subunit ribosomal RNA", at positions 355 to 775 of the family's 1533-position model. The record is from RNAcentral.